CAGCCGCCGCGGGAAUACGUAGGGUGCGAGCGUUAAUCGGAAUUACUGGGCGUAAAGCGUGCGCAGGCGGUUUUGUAAGACAGGCGUGAAAUCCCCGGGCUCAACCUGGGAAUGGCGCUUGUGACUGCAAAGCUAGAGUGCGGCAGAGGGGGAUGGAAUUCCGCGUGUAGCAGUGAAAUGCGUAGAUAUGCGGAGGAACACCGAUGGCGAAGGCAAUCCCCUGGGCCUGCACUGACGCUCAUGCACGUAAGCGUGGGGAGCAAACAGGAUUAGAUACCCCAGUAGUCCCUGUCUCUUAUAC
RNAcentral lists this ribosomal RNA (301 nucleotides) under uncultured bacterium. Its description in RNAcentral is "partial 16S ribosomal RNA". It matches the Rfam family "Bacterial small subunit ribosomal RNA", at positions 509 to 807 of the family's 1533-position model. The record is from RNAcentral.